GGGCGGUGAUGAGGAACAAGUCAUGCACCACUCUGAUGAAAUCUGUGCUGAUAAAUUCUGAAUUACCCAUUCGUAUCUGAGCCC
Small nucleolar RNA from Tripterygium wilfordii, 84 nucleotides. RefSeq annotates it as small nucleolar RNA Z221/R21b. Lineage: Eukaryota; Viridiplantae; Streptophyta; Magnoliopsida; Celastrales; Celastraceae. The record is from RefSeq and is a predicted model, not a curated record. The transcript has a single exon.